AAUUACUGGGCGUAAAGCGAGCGUAGGUGGCUUGAUAAGUCAGAUGUGAAAGCCCCGGGCUUAACCUGGGAACGGCAUCUGAUACUGUUAGGCUAGAGUAGGUGAGAGGAAGGUAGAAUUCCAGGUGUAGCGGUGAAAUGCGUAGAGAUCUGGAGGAAUACCGAUGGCGAAGGCAGCCUUCUGGCAUCAUACUGACACUGAGGUUCGAAAGCGUGGGUAGCAAACAGGAUUAGAUACCCUGGUAGUCCACGCCGUAAACGAUGUCUACUAGUCGUUGGGUCCCUUGAGGACUUAGUGACGCAGCUAACGCAAUAAGUAGACCGCCUGGGGAGUACGGCCGCAAGGUUAAAACUCAAAUGAAUUGACGGGGGCCCGCACAAGCGGUGGAGCAUGUGGUUUAAUUCGAUGCAACGCGAAGAACCUUACCUGGUCUUGACAUAUCUAGAAUCCUGCAGAGAUGCGGGAGUGCCUUCGGGAAUUAGAAUAUAGGUGCUGCAUGGCUGUCGUCAGCUCGUGUCGUGAGAUGUUGGGUUAAGUCCCGCAACGAGCGCAACCCUUGUCCUUAGUUACCAGCGGUUUGGCCGGGAACUCUAAGGAUACUGCCAGUGACAAACUGGAGGAAGGCGGGGACGACGUCAAGUCAUCAUGGCCCUUACGACCAGGGCUACACACGUGCUACAAUGGUAGGUACAGAGGGCAGCUACACAGCGAUGUGAUGCGAAUCUCAAAAAGCCUAUCGUAGUCCAGAUUGGAGUCUGCAACUCGACUCCAUGAAGUAGGAAUCGCUAGU
This 790-nucleotide ribosomal RNA is filed under the name uncultured bacterium. Its description in RNAcentral is "bacterial SSU rRNA". It matches the Rfam family "Bacterial small subunit ribosomal RNA", at positions 549 to 1339 of the family's 1533-position model. The record is from RNAcentral.